CACCGGCUGACGAAGCCCUUGCCCCGAUGAGUCAAAUUAGGUUAAAUUAGGGUUAAAUUAGGUUCAAUUAGGGUUGAAUCUUGUUUUUUACGGUCCAAUUAGGGUUAAAUCAUGUUGUUUAUGUUUAGUUAUGGUUUAAAUAUUGUUGUUUAUGUUUAUUUCUAUAGUUAAUUAGAGGUGAAUCUUGCUAUUUUUUUUAAUUAGGGUUGAAUCUUGCUGUUUAUGUUUAGUUAGGGUUUAAAUAUUGUUGUUUAUGUUUAGUUCUAUAGUUAAUUAGGGUUGAAUCUUGCUGUUUUUUUAAUUAGGGUUGAAUCUUGCUGUUUAUGUUUAGUUAGGGUUUAAAUAUUGUUGUUUAUGUUUAGUUCUAUAAUUAACUAGGGUUGAAUCUUGAUGUUUAUGUUUAAUUAGGGUUUAAACAUUGUUGUUUAUGUUUAGUUCUAUCCAUUUAGGGUUUAUAUUGCUGUUUAUGGUUAAGUAUUGAUGUUAUUGUUGUUUUUGGUUAAAUGAUACAUGCAUGUGAUCCCGACCAUCGUGUCGGUUGAUAUGAGCAAUGUGGGCCCGGCCAUCGUGCCGGGUCAUUGAGAUGGGUCCGGCCAUUGUGCUGAGAGGGUAUAUGUGGGUGGGAAAUUUUUUUAUGCAGGUAUAAAAUACGGGUAGACUCAUUUGUUGUUUUACAUCAAUGGUCAUGCCGAAAUUUUCCGUUUUUUUUUAAAUUACUUUUAUAAGUGUUCGAUAGGAACCUUAGGCUCACGUUGAAGAGGUGCAUGAGCAGCCACCGGUUGUGGAGGGAGAAGUCUGAGAAGAAGUGGGGGCAUUUACCUCGGGGGCAUCUUCCUCAGGCUCGGAAAUUGCCAUGAGCGAUGGCUUCGAGCACGGCGAAGAAGGAGCCGAGGAGCAGCUGUUCCUUGAAGGAGUCGAGGAGCCCCAGGGUGUG
RNAcentral lists this long non-coding RNA (934 nucleotides) under Brachypodium distachyon (stiff brome). Its description in RNAcentral is "long non-coding RNA (BDIS_LNC000820)". Lineage: Eukaryota; Viridiplantae; Streptophyta; Magnoliopsida; Poales; Poaceae. The record is from RNAcentral.